AGCGAACGCUGGCGGCAGGCCUAACACAUGCAAGUCGAGCGCCCCGCAAGGGGAGCGGCAGACGGGAGAGUAACACGUGGGAACGUGCCCUUUGGUUCGGAACAACCCAGGGAAACUUGGGCUAAUACCGGAUAAGCCCUCACGGGGAAAGAUUUAUCGCCAAAGGAUCGGCCCGCGUCUGAUUAGCAGGAUGGUGGGGUAACGGCCCACCAAGGCGACGAUCAGUAGCUGGUCUGAGAGGAGGAUCGGCCUCACUGGGACGGGGACACGGCGCAGACUCCUACGGGAGGCAGCAGUGGGGAGUAUUGGACAAUGGGCGCAAGCCUGAUCCAGCCAUGCCGCGUGGGUGAUGAAGGCCCUAGGGUUGUAAAGCCCUUUCGGCGGGGAAGAUAAUGACAGUACCCGCAGAAGAAGCCCCGGCUAACUUCGUGCCAGCCGCCGCAGUAA
This 447-nucleotide ribosomal RNA is filed under the name uncultured bacterium. RNAcentral describes it as "partial 16S ribosomal RNA". It matches the Rfam family "Bacterial small subunit ribosomal RNA", at positions 30 to 523 of the family's 1533-position model. The record is from RNAcentral.